Molecule: ribosomal RNA, 384 nt
Filed under: uncultured prokaryote
Description: bacterial SSU rRNA
Rfam family: Archaeal small subunit ribosomal RNA
Source: RNAcentral
GCGAAAACUUUACAAUGCUGGCAACAGCGAUAAGGGAACCUCGAGUGCCAGGUUACAAAUCUGGCUGUCGAGAUGCCUAAAAAGCAUUUCAUAGCAAGGGCCGGGCAAGACCGGUGCCAGCCGCCGCGGUAACACCGGCGGCUCGAGUGGUAACCGUUAUUAUUGGGUCUAAAGGGUCUGUAGCCGGCCGGAUAAGUCUCUUGAGAAAUCUGGCAGCUUAGCUAUCAGGCUUUCAGGAGAUACUGUCUGGCUCGAGGCCGGGAGAGGUGAGAGGUACUUCAGGGGUAGGGGUGAAAUCUUGUAAUCCUUGAAGGACCACCAGUGGCGAAGGCGUCUCACCAGAACGGACCUGACGGCAAGGGACGAAAGCUAGGGGCACGAACC